ACAGGGAUAGCUCAGUGGUAGAGUUUGGGCCUGAAAAGCUCACCGCGAAGGUUCAAUUCCUUCUCCCAGCA
RNAcentral lists this transfer RNA (71 nucleotides) under Phalansterium sp. PJK-2012. Its description in RNAcentral is "tRNA-Phe". It matches the Rfam family "tRNA". Rfam says of the family: Transfer RNA (tRNA) molecules are approximately 80 nucleotides in length. Their secondary structure includes four short double-helical elements and three loops (D, anti-codon, and T loops). The record is from RNAcentral. Lineage: Eukaryota; Evosea; Variosea.